This 361-nucleotide ribosomal RNA is filed under the name uncultured bacterium. Its description in RNAcentral is "partial 16S ribosomal RNA". The record is from RNAcentral.
GGAGUCUGGGCCGUGUCUCAGUCCCAGUCUGGAUGAUCAUCUUCUCAAACCAUCUAACGAUCGUCGACUUGGUAGGCCAUUACUCUACCAACUAUCUAAUCGUACGCAGGCCAGUCCCAAACCGUCCGAAGACUUUAAUCCGAAGAUCAUAUGCGGUAUUAGCCACUCUUUCGAGUAGUUAUCCCUCAGUUUGGGGUCCGUUCCCACGCGUUACUCAGCCGUCCGCCGCUCGUCAGCAGGGUCUCACUGUUCCCUCGAAGUUUGCACAACCUACGAAAUAGCGCUAGGUGUGUCAAGGAAACGGUGAGACCCCCUGUUACCGCUCGACUUGCAUGUAUUAGGCACGCCGCCAGCAUUCAUC